UACAGAGGGUGCGAGCGUUGUUCGGAAUUACUGGGCGUAAAGGGCGCGUAGGCGGCUCGCUAAGUCCAACGUGAAAUCCCCAGGCUCAACCUGGGAACUGCGUCCGAUACUGGCAGGCUUGAAUCCGGGAGAGGGAUGUGGAAUUCCAGGUGUAGCGGUGAAAUGCGUAGAUAUCUGGAGGAACACCGGUGGCGAAGGCGGCAUCCUGGACCGGUAUUGACGCUGAGGCGCGAAAGCAUGGGGAGCAAACAGG
This 253-nucleotide ribosomal RNA is filed under the name uncultured bacterium. Its description in RNAcentral is "partial 16S ribosomal RNA". It matches the Rfam family "Bacterial small subunit ribosomal RNA", at positions 524 to 776 of the family's 1533-position model. The record is from RNAcentral.